RNAcentral lists this small RNA (427 nucleotides) under Pongo abelii (Sumatran orangutan). RNAcentral's name for it is "processed transcript". Lineage: Eukaryota; Metazoa; Chordata; Mammalia; Primates; Hominidae. The record is from RNAcentral.
UUUUUUUUUUAAGACAGAGUUUCGCUCUUGUCACCCAGGCUGGAUUGCAGUGAGCCGAGAUCGUGGCACUGCACGAUGUGCCUGAGUGACAGAAUGAGAUUCCAUCUCAAAAAAAAAAAAAAGAGUACAUAAUACCUACUUUAGAGAUAGUCAUGGAAAUAUAAAGUAUGUGGCCCUUAUUAAUGCUACAUAAUGCUUUGCUUUCGUUUAUUUGCAUCUUACCCUCUUCCGUGAGUAUUGAUACUGUCUUACACAUAGUAGGGGUUGAGUAGAUAUUUGCUGGUUGCCCCUUCACUUGCAAGGGAUACAUACAAAUGUUGGUUUGUAUUGGAUAAUGAAUAUGAUGUUUUUAAGAGUAAUGUAUGAUUUUGUUACUUUUUGAAGGCCUUAGCAACAUUAACACUAGUAAAAGAAGUAGUAACAUUUA